This is a long non-coding RNA of Loxodonta africana (African savanna elephant), 8849 nucleotides long. RefSeq lists it as uncharacterized. The transcript has 3 exons. NCBI's taxonomy places the organism in Eukaryota, Metazoa, Chordata, Mammalia, Proboscidea, Elephantidae. The record is from RefSeq and is a predicted model, not a curated record.
UUUUUUUUUUUAAUCUUGGUUUAUAUUUGUGAUUUCCCUGUCUGGGUUGACUUCUGGUUGCUCUGUCCUGUGUUCUAGCCUUGGGUUGAUAUCCGAUAUUAUUGGUUUUCUCACCAGAGAACUCCCUUUAGUAUUUCUUGUAGUUUUGGUUUGGUUUUUAUGAAUUCCCUAAACUUCUGUUUAUCUGGAAAUGUCCUAAUUUCGCCUUCAUAUUUGAGAGACAGUUUUGCUGGAUAUAUGAUUCUUGGCUGGCAUUUUUUUUUCCUUCAGUGCUUUAUGUAAGUCAUCUCAUUGCCUUCUUGCCUGCAUGGUUUCUGCUGAGUAGUCCGAGCUUAUUCUUUCUGACCCUCCUUUGUAGGUGACUUUUAGUUUAUCUCUAGCCGCUCUUUAAAUUCUCUCUUUAUCCUUGGUUUUGGCAAGUUUGAUUAUAAUAUGUUUUUUGGUGACUGUCUUUUGAGAUCUACCUUAUGUGGACUUCGAUGAGCAUCGUGGAUAGAUGCCAACAAAUCUUCAACAAUUCUCUCAGUAUUUUCUGCAUUUAUGUUCAUGAGAGAUAUUGCUCUGUAAUUUUUGUGUGUGUGUGUGAUGUCUUUACCUGGUUUUGGAGUCAGGGGUAUGCUGGCUUCAUAGAAUGAGUUUGGGAGUAUUUCAUCAUUUUCUGAAAUACCUUUAGUAGUAGUGGUGUUAACUCUUCUCUAAAACUUUGGUAGAAUUUUCCAGUGAAGCUGUCAAGGCCAGGGCUUUUUUUUGUUGUUGUUGGGAGUUUUUUUUUUUAGUUGCCUUUUCAAUCUCUUCUUUUGUUAUGUUUUUGUUAGUUGUUCUACCUCUGUUUGUGUUAGUCUAGGUAGGUAGUGUGUUUCUAGGAAUUCAUUUCUUCUAGGUUUUCACAUUUGUUAGAGUACAGUUUUUCAUAGCAAUCUGAUAUGAUUCUUUUAAUUUCAGUUGGGUCUGUUGUAAUAUCACCCAUGUCAUUUCUUCUUUGGGAUAUUUGCUUCCUCUCCUGUUUUUCUUUUGUCAGUUUGACCAAUGGUUUAUCAAUUUUGUUAUUUUUUUCAGAGAACCAGCUUUUGGUCUUGUUAAUUCUUUCAAUUGUUUUUCUGUUUUCUAUUUCAUUUAGUUCAGCUCUAAUUUUUAUUAUUUGUUUUCUUCUGGUGCCUGAUGGAGUCUUUUGUCGCUCACUUUCUAUUUGUUCAAGUUGUAGGGACAGUUCUCUGCUUUUGGCUCUUUCUUCUUUUUGUAUGUGUGCAUUUAUCGAUAUAAAUUGGCCUCUGAGCGCCGCUUUUGCUGUGUCCCAGAGGUUUUGAUAGGAAGUGUUUUCAUUCUCAUUGCAUUCUCUGAAUUUCUUUAUUCCAUCCUUAACGUCUUCUAUAAUCCGGACUUUUUUGAGCAGGGUAUUGUUCAGUUUCCAAGUGUUUGAUUUCUUUUCCCUGCUUUUCCUGUUAUUGAUUUCCACUUAUGGUGGCGUAGUGGUUAAGUGCUACGGCUGCUAACCGAGAGGUCAGCAGUUCAGAUCCACCAGGUGCUCCUUGGAAACCCUAUGGGGCAGUUCUAGUGUGUCCUAUAGGGUCACUAUGAGUCGGAAUCGACUCGACGGCAGUGGGUUUUUUUGGUGUUUUAUGGCCUUAUGGUCAGAGAAGACGCUUUGUAAUAUUUCAAUGUUUUGGAUUCUGCUAAGGCUCGCUUUAUGACCUAAUAUGUGGUCUAUUCUCGACAAUGUUCCAUGUGCACUAGAAAAGAAAGUAUACUUGGUUGCUGUUGGGUGGAGUGUUCUGUAUAUGUCUACCAGGUCAAGUUGGUUGAUUGUGGCAUUUAGAUCUUCCGUGUUUCUAUUGAGCGUCUUUCCGGAUGUCCUGUUCUUCGCCGAAAGUGGUGUGUUGAAGUCUCCUACUAUUAUUGUGGAGCUGUCUAUCUCACUUUUCAAUGCUGAUAGGGUUUAUGUAUCUUGCAGCCCUGUCAUUGAGUGCAUAAAUAUUUAAUAUGGUUAUAUCUUCUUGGUGUAGUGCCCCUUUAAUCAUUAUAUAGUGUCCUUCCUUAUCCUUUCUGAUGGAUUUAACUUUAAAGUCUAUUUUGUCAGAAAUUAAUAUUGCCACUCCUGCGCUUUUUUGAUUGUUGUUUGCUUGAUAUAUUUUUUUCCAUCCUUUGAGUUUUAGUUUGUUUCUGUCCCUGAGUCUAAGUUGUGACUCUUGUAGGCAGCAUAUAGACGGAUCAUGUUUUUUAAUCGAGCCUGAGACUCUCUGUGUCUUUGGAAGCCCUGGUGGCGUAGUGGUUAAGUGCUGCAGCUGCUAACCAAGAGGUCGGCAGUUCAAAUCCACCAGGCGCUCCUUGGACAGUCUGUGGGGCAGUUCUGCUCUGUCCUGUAGGGUCACUAUGAGUCGGAAUCGACUCGAUGGCAUAGGGUUUGGUUUUGGUUUGGUGCCUUUAUUGGGCUUCUUUCUGGGUGUCCUGUCUCCUUUACCAAAACAAAGCGGUGUGUUGAAGUCUCCUACUAGUAUUGUGGCGCUCUCUAUCUCACUUUUCAAUACUGUUAGAGUUUGUUUUACUGUUACUCAGCCUGGAAGCCACACAGCAUUACUUUCACUGUACUCCAUUGCUGUAGCAGCCACAAGCCCACCCACAUUCAACGGGAGGAGACAAAGACUGCUCCUCUCAGUGGAGGCUGUCAAGGUCUCCCUGUAGAAGAGUAUGUGGGAUGGAGCUCUUGUUGUGUCUAUCCUUGGGAAAUACACUCUGCCACACUGUGGUUAUUAUUACCAUUUGUACAUGUCUAGAAAUGAUGGUGAAUCCAUUCUCUCGACUCUCUCCAGGUGCUUUGCUUUCUAAAGCUGUGUUGGUAGACCGUGAGCCACACGUGAGUUUUGCAUAUCUUUUUUACCACGUGGUUUACAGUGGUAGUGAUUGGUGCCUUGAAGUCAUGAGCUGUGCAUCUACUACCACCUUCUGACAGUAGAUCGUAAUUGCAGAUUUGGUUUAAACCUCUUUCCUUGGAUCCAACAAAUAAUUGCUCACAAAGCAGGUGAGAACACUGUCACUUGUCCUCAUCUAGAAAAUGGGGAUAACGACAGCAUCUCCUACACAGGGUGGUUUGUAGAUUGAAUGAGUCAAUACCUAUACUCACACCAAACGGGCCAGCACAUGGUGUUACACUCGAAAAUUUGUUAUGAUUCAUGCUAGGACCCAGGGCCGAUGGUUAAAAUUCAUGGGGCAUGCCGGGUUUGAGAGGGAACAUGAAGGACAAAUGGAAUAGACUGAAAACUGAAAUCUCUAGCAAACAAGCUGUCCUCCAGGGCCCGGCACACGGGAGUCACUGGAGGGUGCUGGCUGAAUGAGUGGGUGAAGAAGGCGACAGCAGAAAUGCAGACCAAGCUGGAAACCUGUCACAUCCUGCUCACAGACAGCCCCUUCCCCACAUGAAGGGGAGAGGAAGAGGAGGCAUCUUUGAUCAGACACAGGAGUCACUGUCACCAUGUGGAGAACUUCUUCCAGCUGAGGAGACUCCUCAGGGCCCCCUUCACGUCCUUAUUCCUUAGGCUGUGAAUGAAGGGGUGGAGCGUGGGUGCCACCAACUCAUCAGAGCAAAGAGGAAGAACUGGCAGAGGAGACUGAGGAUCAACAUGUGGUGAGGAGGGGGAGAAACGGAGAGUGUGCAGUGGCAUUCUGGAGCAAGGCUGAGGUCCCCAGGUGUCAGGAGGUGGAGUGAUCAGUUGUCACGUGAUGCUGAAGGGUCAUGUACGAGGAGGUCUGGGAACCCACCCUGGGUUUAGUAAUGAGACGGCGGUGGUUUGAGGGGAGGUGAGGGUGCUAGGAGGGACUGGGAAGUGAGGAAUUGGGGACAGAGAGCCCAGACAACCCUUGCGAGGGGUGGCACUCUGGCUGUGAAGAAGAGGAGGAGAAAGUGCUCUAGGUGGAGGGGGACCUGGGGUCCAGGAGAGGCUGGUGGGUUGUGAAGAAGUGAGAGGUUGGAGCCGUUCAGGUGCUCACAGGGGCUGUCGGGUACAAGGGAGCACUGACUUGUGUGGGAGAGAAGAGUUUACCUGGCGGGGAGGGGGCUGUGCACACGGGAACCUGCCUCUCCCCCAAGCCUCACUCCAGGGGACCCUUCCUUCCCCCACCCCAGAUUCUGAGUGCCAUGGACUGAGAUGCCUCUUGUCGAAAGCAGAAGUUGUGCCAGAAGCUGGAACAGACGUCCAACAACAGCUCAGGGUGGUGCAGUUGGGUAAGGAGGGGGCUUCUCUGUCCUGAGCCAUCCGCAGACGAGGGAGGGUGGCUCAUGCCUGGUCCACAGGCUGAGACUCUUAGGAGGUGCGUGGGGGAGGCACUGGACCAGUAGGACCCCAGCACACCUGGGUCCCAUUCACUAGUGCCUUGCUUCGGGCCCUGGGGCGGGGGAGGGGAGGCAGGACCAAGCCCCCCCAUCCCAACAGCAGCAAUAAACUCACCCUCCUGCCCUGGUGCCCAGCUGUGGCAGUAGCCCCUGUCCACCUUCCUAUUUACACCCCAACGACGUAUUUUUUUUUUUUUUUAAUUAACUCCACCUCAGUGUUUCCAUGUGUAAAAGCGUGUCCCUCCUGGGAUGUGGCCAAGUGCACUAACAUUCUGCCCGGUAUUCCCCUCCGCAUAUUCUCAGUGGGAGGCAGAAGGAUCCUGUUAAGAUGUAAGGCGAAUUACAUCCCCGCUCUGUUCAAAACCCUCCAGUACCUUCAAAUGCACCCACACUCCUUAAACGCUGGCAAUGCCUUACUGUCCCAGGUGGCUCUCCUAUCAGGAUGCACCUACCUACCUCUUGCUCCCACACCUCUUCAAGUGGCGCACAGGUAGGGGGGAGCAAGUCAAGCCGGGAGCACUCCGGGACAAGAGAAUGGCAUCUAACAAGCCCUGUGAGAGACCAUGGUCUGAUUAAGGAGCGAGGGUGUCUGGGGCCACUCGGUGCCAGGCAGGCACUGUUCCAGGAGCUACGGAUACGUGGGCAGAGGGGGAGAAGAGCCAUGAUUGCUGCCUGGCUGAGGGAGGACAUUUGAGAAGGACCUGGAGGAGGUCAGGGAGUGAGCCAGACGAGUCCCAGGGGAAGAGAGUUGCAGACAGAAAAAAGCCUGUGCCAAGAUCCUCAGGUGGGAGUGGGCUGGGGUGUUUCAGAAAGGGCGAGUAAGCCAGUGUGGCUGGAUCAUCGUGAGCAAGGGAGAGAUUGGGAGAGACGGCGACCGGAGAGGAAAGGGGCAGGACCACCUUGGGCUCUGUGAGCCACUGUGAGGGCUCUGGCUUUGCCUCUGGAAGAGAUGGGAGCCCUUUGGAGGGUUUGGAACAGAAGCGAUGGGGCCUGGGACCUGACUCAUUUUAAGAUAGUCCAGAAGCUUCAGUAGUCCCUCUGCGGGGCCAAGGCUGCAGGCUGAUUCUGGGCUUUGCAGGGUGAAGGAGGGAGGGAGUGUCAGACUCAAGUCUUGUCCGCAGUGAACUGGCCCCACAUUUUUGGGGCCAGAUUUGGGUAGCCUAUCUGGAAAGGGGGAAACCCUGGUGGCCUAGUGGUUAUGUGCUACCUCUGCUAAACAAAACGCCAGCAGUUCGAAUCCACCUGUCACGUCCUUGGAUAAUCUAUGAGGCAUUCCACCCUGUGCUAUAGCGUCACUAUGAGUCGGAAUCGACUCAAAGGCAACAGGUUUUUUUUUUUUUUUUAAUUUGAAACUGGUGGUCCUAGUGUCCUUCUCCUCUGUCCUUUCGUCCAGCUACCCCCUUGUGGUCCCCCACCCCACCGUGCCUUUGGGUUCUUAUCCGCAAAGGCCUCAUCCGUCUCCUUUUGUACGGUACUAUGGCUUGAUGGCUUAUCAGCAAGGAGCCAGAACUUUACGAAGGAUACAUGCCUGUUUCUUCUGUGAAGGGUAAGAGAGCCAUGUCCUCAGGCCAGGUUAGUAGGAUAAAGAAAUAAUCCUGUUGUCCUUCAUUUCAAAUAGAGGAGACUUUUCUAUCGCAAGUUACAUACCAAAGAGAAACUAAAACUCCCAAUAGGCUAAAGCCUGAGGGGAGGCUAUGGGUCUGUGCAAUUGAAAGGACUGGAGGAAGUUGCUGGCUUCAGGCACGGCAAGAUCCAGGAUUGCUCACACGCUACUCCCUGGGCUGGGCCAGGAUGGCAGCAAUCCGAGGUGGGCACAGCCCAGGGAAAGGAUCCUGGGCACGGCUGCCGCCUCCAAGCUUAAGGCUGACGCACUUGACACAUCUGAAGUCUUCCACGUAGCAGCUUUGACCCACGUCUGUGUCACGUGGAAGCCCAGGCAGCUGAGAAAGGAUUCCCCCACACCCUGAGUGACAUAGGUGGAGGGGUGGGCGCAGGGCCACGGGGACAUUCUUACUGUGUGGCUACAAAGCCACCGCAAACAUAGCAGUAAAAUCGUGUCAUUUCCAAAGCAGCUCCUGUUUCUACCUCAGCUUUCCUGGGAGUGGGGGCGGUGCAGGAGGUAAGGGGAGGAGAUCUUCCCUCAGCUCCAGAUGAUUCAUUCAGUCUAAACAGACCUAUAGCAAUAAGGAGAUUGCUUAGAGUUUAGAGAUGGCUGGCUGCUCUCGAACGUUCAGGUUGGAGAGAGACUACAUUUCUGAGCCUCCCGUGCAGUUAGGUGUUGGUAUGAGAGUUCUCGCUAAUGAAUUGUGAGUGGGAGUAAUGUGUGCUCCUUCUAAGCCAGGCCCACAAAUAUUUAGCAUGUGCCCUCCUCCAUGUUCUUUUCUGCUUCCGCAACUGGAGUGGGGAUGGCUGCAGGCGUCCCUGCAGUGCUGACAAAGCAAAAGCUAUUUCACCACUUACCUGAAUAGGGUUGUGAUGAGGAUUGAAUAUGGACAUGAAUACUUAGCAUAAUUCCUGGCCAAUAUGGUUAGUUUCCGUAAUUAUUAUUACAGUCUUUGAGUGCUCCAGUAAUCGUCUGCGGUGGGAGAGAAGUGAAGAUCCCUACCUCAUUCAGCAGACAGUACAAUUAGGACUGGGCUUCUGUCGGCAAAGUCUCAUACUUGCUGAUGCUGGCAGUCUUUUCUCUUUCUGCACCGUCCCUAUGUUGAUGAAACAAGUCUCAGCCACCUUACAGAAAAUUGAACGAACCAUAAUUUGAGAUAUGCUGAUGUAACAAAAUGCAGUUUAAACCAAAAACAAUAUGAAAAGCUUGGUUAUAAUAGUUAUGAAAAUUCUAAAGUGAACUAGAACAUCUUGCAUUUACACAACACCGUUCUGUAAAACAGCUCUGUGACACAGUCUGACUCUAGUUUUGAUGUGUGACAAUUGACAACUUGUAAGCUCACCCUUGUAAGCUCUUCCCCUUCUGUCCACCCCUAGAAAAGCUGAUAAGAAAGCCUGAGCGCCCCUCCUUGAGUGGGAAGUUCAAACCCUGCAAGCCCCUGCUUGUGUGUGGGAACACUCACUCCAGCCUCACCCCUUAACCACAACAAAAAUCCUAGGUCGGUCUCAUUUCCCUGACCUCUCAAGCCACUUUGGACCUGCUUGGAAGCCAGCCCUGCUCUCCCCUGAAAGUCUCAUUAUAGUUAUAGGGAGAAACACCCAUCGUACCCUCUGGCACAGCCAAGGGAUUGAUUCAACCAUUGACCGAGAAACCACGGGAGCCUAGCAUAGAUGUGAAGCAACCAACUACAGGCCAAAAACAACAACCAACCCCAAGCCCCAAAGGGAGGAGAAAGAAGACCUUCUGUCAACCCAGGUCCAGAAACAUCGAAAAGGCGAAGAAGAUAACCAUGAGGGUAAAAUUAGCCCUUCAACAGAGUUCGAGAAAGCCUAAGAAAGGAGAAAGGUCAAAAAUAUUAGUCUUACCACAGGAAGAAUAAGAAAAUGAACAAAAAUAAGGCAGACCAGGAACAAGAGAGCCUGAAGACCAGCACCACUCCAAGUAAUGCCCUGUGCGUAGCAAAGCUCAGAGACCUAGAACUAUCUUCUGUGUCUCCAAAGGAGACUCUGGAGAAAUGGUUAACCACGUAGAAACCAAAUCUUACACCAACAGGGUGCAAGGAUGCUGGAAAUUACAUAAGUAAAAUAAAAUCAACAAGUUAUGAGAACUAGAUGCGUGUGUGUGUGUGUGUGUGUGUGUGUGUGUGUGUGUGUCUGCGAGUUCUCUGAUGGUGGGGAGGGAGGGAAGGAAGGGAAGAGGCCAGCACGUGAGAAGGGAGAGGAGUGGCAUCCUGCAGGGUUGGGGGCCAGACUGGCAGCUCCACAGUGAGCCGGACACUGGGGAUAAGGACUGGGUCAGGACUGAGCACUGAAGAAAAAUUUCUCUCCUUGACACUUUAACCCACAAACCAGGGAAAAAGGGAGAGGUUGCUGUGUCUGCCUAUGUGUGCAGGAGAAGGGAGUGGGGGAAAGGCAACACCAAGGUGUAGAUUGCAGAGCCCACGUGGGGAGAGGUAUGAUAUGUGUCGGGUGGCAGUGUGUAAUAAAGAGCCUGGCUCCAUUUUUUGAUGUUUGACUGCUGACAGCUUUUAAGCUUCACUUUCCUUCUUCCUCUUCUGCCCCACAUCUGAGCAAGCUGAUAAGAAAUCCUGGGUGCUCCCUCGUUUGGUGCCAACAGGAGGCUCAAACCACACAAACCCCUGCCCAAGUGUGGGGACCCUUGUCCCAGCCCCACUUCUUAACUACAAUAAAACCCCAAGCCAGUCUCCUUUCCCUACUCUCUCAAGCCAUAUUCAGACCUGCUUGGAAGCCACCUUGCUCUCUGCAGAAAAUCUCUCAUUAUGUGAGUAAUAAACCUUUCAUACCCUCUUGGCGUGAUUGUGGCAUCAUCAGUCUUAACAUAGGAACCAAAUUUACUCAACUCCAUGCCAAUAAACUUGGGAAUCUGGAGAAAAUCUUUGCUUUUCUGUGAAAUAUACAUGACCAA